UCUAAGAUAGUUUAAAUUAAAAUAGUAAAAUGUGAUUUUACAGAUACUUCAAAUUUUAUUUCUUUAUAGUU
This 71-nucleotide transfer RNA is filed under the name Janira maculosa. RNAcentral's name for it is "tRNA-His". The record is from RNAcentral. Lineage: Eukaryota; Metazoa; Arthropoda; Malacostraca; Isopoda; Janiridae.